Molecule: non-coding RNA, 1046 nt
Organism: Erythranthe guttata (spotted monkey flower)
Lineage: Eukaryota; Viridiplantae; Streptophyta; Magnoliopsida; Lamiales; Phrymaceae
Source: RefSeq, a predicted model, not a curated record
UCGGAGUCACAAACCCAUAAAAAUCCAAACAUUUUCACAUUUGAAGAGUUGUUUCCUUCUCAGAAGCUACGCUGCUUUGGGAGAUUUUUGGAGAAGAAAAUGUCAAGAAGGAGCGAAUCCGGCAUUCAGUGGACUCCAAACUACAGUAAGUAUCCUUAACUUUGUAGCUAUGUUGUUAAAUUAUGUGAAAAUGUGAUUUUUGAUUUUUCUAAUUUUUGUUUUUUUUUUGUUUUUUUUGUUUUUGCUUCCUCAAACACCGUAGUUGAAAUGGGUGAACCUACAUGUUUUAGCAUGAAAUUUUUUUAUGGUGGAACAAUGAGGCAUGAACCAACUAGAACAUAUAUAGGAGGGCAGGUAGAAUGCUUUGAUUUUUUGGAUAUUGACCAAUUUGGUAUAUUAGAUAUGUGGGAUUUUGCAAAUGCUUUAGGGUACACUGAGAAGGGAAGUUUCAAAUUUUGGCUAAAACAUGAGAAUUAUUUUAGGCCAAUUGAAACUGAUGCUGAUGUUCUUAGCAUAGCUGACUGUAUUCCUUCAAACUUUGAAGUUCAGAUGUUCAUUGAAAAGGUUAAUAACUCAGAGGGGGGUACUGAAUCUGUCAUAAAUGAUGAAAUUGGGAUAGAUGAAACUGGGGUAGAGUUAAGUGAUGAGGGUGAUGACAGUGAAGAUGAUGACAUUUUUUAUGAGUCAGAGUAUGAUAUGGAGGAUGAUGAUAAGCUAUUUGAAGCUUAUGUUGAUCCUGAAGAUGAAUUUGGUGGUUUAGACAAGGGCAAGGGUAAGAUAGAUGAGGGUAGUGAAUUCAUAAGUGGUGGGAUGUUUGAUAAGCUAUAUAAUGAAGAAGGGGAGGAAAAUCUUGUUGCUAGUGAUGAUGACUUAGGGAAACUCAGGCUCUGAAAUUGGUGCAAGUUCUUCUAAGUCAGCCUCUGCAUCCAUCACAAAUUCCAAGGCAUCUUCCAAGUCAGUAGUUGCUUCCAAGUCAGCCUCUAAGAUGAAGAAGUGAUCAAGUUUGAACAAGAUUGUACUUUUGUUAUUUUGUUUGUUUGAUGUUU